Molecule: ribosomal RNA, 366 nt
Filed under: uncultured bacterium
Lineage: Bacteria
Description: bacterial SSU rRNA
Rfam family: Bacterial small subunit ribosomal RNA
Source: RNAcentral
AGUAGGGAGGAAGGUAGUGUAGUUAACACCUGCAUUAUUUGACGUUACCUACAGAAGAAGCACCGGCUAACUCCGUGCCAGCAGCCGCGGUAAUACGGAGGGGUGCGAGCGUUAAUCGGAAUUACUGGGCGUAAAGCGCAUGCAGGCGGCCUGUUAAGUCAGAUGUGAAAGCCCGGGGCUUAACCUCGGAAUUGCAUUUGAAACUGGCAGGCUAGAGUCUUGUAGAGGGGGUAGAAUUUCAGGUGUAGCGGUAAAAAUGCGUAGAGAUCUGAAGGAAUACCAGUGGCGAAGGCGGCCCCCUGGACAAAGACUGACGCUCAGAUGCGAAAGCGGUGGGGAGACAAACAGGAUUAGAUACCCUGGUAG